This is an RNA transcript of Bactrocera tryoni, 1474 nucleotides long. RefSeq lists it as uncharacterized. NCBI's taxonomy places the organism in Eukaryota, Metazoa, Arthropoda, Insecta, Diptera, Tephritidae. The record is from RefSeq and is a predicted model, not a curated record. The transcript has 3 exons.
ACAAUGACAUUGAAAAAGUCCGGGAACUUGUGUCGACAUAGGUUUAACAUGAAUAUAGCAAAAAAUCCAGAAACUCAUAUAUCAAUUUAAUACACUCACAUUGAAUGAGAAUGAAAUACGGAAAUCUGUCAUCAGUUCAUCAAAACAUAGUUCCAAAACAUCGUCAUACAUUAGAGAUGAAGUGUUAGUAAAAAUGGAAAAAUAUGUAGUGUUUUGGAUUGAGGAUUUAUUGCAAACGAUAAUACCUACGAUGCUUAAAGCAGAAGUCACUACGAAUCUAUAAGCAACUGCAAAUAUCGGAGCCCUCAAGAAGUCGUCAAGAUAAGAGAAAGAAAUUUUCUGCCAGUGAUGGAUGGCUAACAGUAUUUCUUAAAAGGAACGCAUUUCAUAAUUUAAAAAUUAAAGAAGAAAUCGCAUCAACAGAUGAGAAGGCAGCGAAAACCUUUACAGCAGAACUAGCCAAAAUAAUUGAAGAUGGGGCCAUGUCCCCGCUCAAAUAUUCAAUGCCGAUGAAACGGGUUUGUUCUGAAAAAAAAUGCCUUCCAGAACUUUUGUACCAAAACCCGACAAAAAUGCUAGUGGUUUUAAAGUGGUAAAGCAACGUUUCUGGUGACAAAAUUUUAAAGCCCAUUUUAAUUAACCAAACAUUAAGGCCGCGUGCUUCGAGAGGAAAAAACAUUGAAGAGUUGCCGGUUCAUUGGAGGGCGAAUAAAAAGGCCUCGAUGACAGCAGGUCUAUUUGCGGAAUGAUAAUGCACCAAGUCAUCUUUCUUGAUUCAACAAUUAGACCAGGAUGCAGUAGAGAAGGACAAACUUACGAUCGUUGAUGCAUGGAAAAAAUAUUCUGUUUUGCAUUGCAUUACAUAAGCUUCAAUGGCCAAGGAAAAGUUAAGGGUAUCAUCAUUAAAUUCCUGCUGGAAAGCACUUUGGCCAGAAUGCGUCAAGAGUGGUACCUCAGUGCCCCAACCACCGAUGGAGACUUCUGAAAUUAUAGCCUUGGCACAUGAAAUCGAAGGAGAAGGGUUUGAGGACCUACAAAUGGAAGAUGUCGACGAAUUAAUGAUAGAUAAACCGCUAGAAGAUGAUUAUCUGAUUGAGUUAAAAACAGAUGACGGCAAAACUGAGAACCAUAAUAGCGAUAUCAGCGCGGUGACCGAAAUAUGUCAACUAACUGCUAGUUUAAUUGAUUAGACCGUCUAACAUUUGGUAAAAGUAUGGUGAAUCAUUUCUUAAAAAAACGUGCGCUGAAACUGAAACUUAAAAAACCAAAAGUUCAACUACCUAUUAAUUUAAUUUUAAUUUUUGAUAAAAAAAUCGACUACGCAAGACCUUUCGGAAAGUAGUCCGUCAGUUCAAAACUCAAAACUCUAUUACCGGGCGAAAGUGACCAUUGGAUAAUUUGAUGGAUAUCUCCAGUGAGUGAUGAUACCGACUUUAGUCUAGUUCGUCGCAAACAAUUACGCUUGUUAUCAAGU